UCGGAUAUUUUUUGUACCACCCUACAAGAUCCGUUCGGGUAUUUUUAUAUUUCAGAUCGGAUAAUGGGUCGAGUUUUUCGGUUCGGGUUCGGUUCGAAUUUCGAGUUCCGGAUUUUAUGCCUAGGCCUGCUCAAUGUAAUCCCACGAGUGCGACUUUCCUUAAUUCUAUGCCAUAAAUCUCAGAUGUAAUUAAUAGUCGUUAGGUAAAUUAUGGAUACUCCAUUGACUAUGUUAAUUCAACGUUUUGGGGAAAUCUCUUUGGUUUAGUGAUUUUCCUAAACUUUCAUUAAUGUUUCUACGCUAAUUUUUUGGAUUUGGAAUCCAAAAAUAUCAAUUAUGCAGAGUGAAAAACUUCUAUGAAAUUUUUAGUAUGAAAACAAAACAAAAAAAGAAUUUUUUAGUAUGAUGCAAAAUAGAACCUUUAAGUAUGAAUCUUCAUAAAAAAAAAAGGGUAUGAAUCUUCAUAAAACAACUCAGUAUGGUGAAAAUAGAAACAAAUAAAUUUGUAGAUUGUAGAAGUAAUAUUUUGUAAUUUGUUUUAACAUUUAGACCAAUUUUUUUUUUUUUUGUAAUUUGUGAUAGAAUAAAUUAUAUUCAACAUUAGUUUUCCAAAAAAAAAUAAUGUUCCAGAAAAAACAUUCAACAUUAAUUAAUAGGGAUGCCGGUUAAGAUUCUAAUUUGAACCGGUCAGAUGGUAACCAAUUUUGGUUUGGCUAGAAAUCUAUUUCGUGUCCCAACUUCGCCUUUACUCCUUUUCUCACAACAACUUUCAAAAGCUCUGAGAUCUCAGAUUCGACGCCGUUGGUUAUCUAUCUCCGUCGCAUAAUCUGAGAGUAAAUGGAUAAGGAGGCAGCUGAAACUGCGAGGGACUCGCUGGAGCUUGCGUUUCGAAUGUCCAACAUCUUGGAGACUGGUCUCGAUCGACAUACCUUGUCCGUUUUGAUUGCUCUUUGCGAUCUUGGUCUUAACCCUGAGGCUUUAGCUGCUGUCGUCAAGGAGCUCCGACAAGAGUCCGGCAACAACCACGGAAACAGCAGCUUAGCAUAGAUUAGUUCGAAUCCUUUUGUUUCACUAUGCUUUUCUGUAAGAUUUUGACAAAUCUGAAGUUUGAUGCUUUGAUGUUCUGUCAUUUGAUAUAAUUGAUUUAAGGCUUCACUUCCAAAAA
Brassica napus (rape) is the source of this 1165-nucleotide long non-coding RNA. RefSeq lists it as uncharacterized. The record is from RefSeq and is a predicted model, not a curated record. The transcript is spliced from 2 exons. NCBI's taxonomy places the organism in Eukaryota, Viridiplantae, Streptophyta, Magnoliopsida, Brassicales, Brassicaceae.